ACGGAGGUUGCAAGCGUUGUUCGGAAUAACUGGGCGUAAAGGGAGCGCAGGCGGUUAGGUAAGUUUAAAGUGAAAGCCCGGGGCUUAAACUCGGAAGGGCUUUGGAUACUGCCUUACUCGAGUGCGGUUGAGGAAAGCGGAAUUCCCGGUGUAGCGGUGAAAUGCGUAGAUAUCAGGAGGAACACCGAUGGCGAAGGCAGCUUUCUGGCGCGAUACUGACGCUAAGCCGCGAAAGUAUGGGGAGCGAACAG
Molecule: ribosomal RNA, 251 nt
Filed under: uncultured prokaryote
Description: partial 16S rRNA
Rfam family: Bacterial small subunit ribosomal RNA
Source: RNAcentral